RNAcentral lists this transfer RNA (61 nucleotides) under Signoretia aureola. RNAcentral describes it as "tRNA-Ala". Lineage: Eukaryota; Metazoa; Arthropoda; Insecta; Hemiptera; Cicadellidae. The record is from RNAcentral.
GGAGUUAUAUUUAAUUAUAAUAUUUGAUUUGCAAUCAAAAAGUGCUUAUUAGCUAACUUCA